This 497-nucleotide ribosomal RNA is filed under the name uncultured bacterium. Its description in RNAcentral is "partial 16S ribosomal RNA". It matches the Rfam family "Bacterial small subunit ribosomal RNA", at positions 28 to 507 of the family's 1533-position model. The record is from RNAcentral.
GACGAACGCUGGCGGCGUGCCUAAUACAUGCAAGUAGAACGCUGAAGAGAGGAGCUUGCUCUUCUUGGAUGAGUUGCGAACGGGUGAGUAACGCGUAGGUAACCUGCCUGGUAGCGGGGGAUAACUAUUGGAAACGAUAGCUAAUACCGCAUAAAAUUGAUUAUUGCAUGAUAAUUAAUUGAAAGAUGCAACUGCAUCACUACCAGAUGGACCUGCGUUGUAUUAGCUAGUUGGUGAGGUAACGGCUCACCAAGGCGACGAUACAUAGCCGACCUGAGAGGGUGAUCGGCCACACUGGGACUGAGACACGGCCCAGACUCCUACGGGAGGCAGCAGUAGGGAAUCUUCGGCAAUGGGGGGAACCCUGACCGAGCAACGCCGCGUGAGUGAAGAAGGGUUUCGGAUCGUAAAGCUCUGUUGUAAGAGAAGAACGGGUGUGAGAGUGGAAAGUUCACACUGUGACGGUAUCUGACCAGAAAGGGACGGCUAACUACGUG